GAGGAGCCUGUGAUCCGGGAGCAGGUGUCCCUGCGCAGCCCCUCGGCUCCCGCGCAUCGCCCUCACUUACCCAGGGCCCAGGUGCAGCUCUCUUUGAUGGCUUUGUAUUUGCUCCCGGACGCAUCUCUCUGCAGCUUCCUCAGGAUCUCUUCCAUCUUGGCCUUCCUAGAGCCAGGCCACCGACCCCGAGAUCGCGCAGGGGACGCGCCUAGGAGGCCUCGGCACUCGUCCCCAUGGCUCUCGGCGGCCGCUGAUGAAUCACACCCGCUCCGCGCCACAGGCCACGUCAGCCCCGCCGCCACGCCUGUUGCCACGCCCGCCGGGUCAGGUGCGCUCACCAGCAGGGGAACCCGGGAGGCCCCGGCCGUCUACCUAACGUCCAAGAGGACCUGGGGUACCAAGCUUCAUCCAAAGAGUUUCUUGGUAUAGCCUUGAUCAUCCUGGAACCCAUUCAGUAUACCAGGCUGACCUCAAACUCAGAAAUCCCAAAUGAUAGGAUUAAAGACGUGCACUACGCCACCAAGCCCCUAGGUGUCAGAGGGCAUGAAGUUGAAGUCUCACUUUUCUCUGGAUCACUUGAAGUCUUUUCUGCCUGGGAGCUAGUGCAAAAGCUGCUGUCUUCUGUAUCUAUGAUUGCUACGCGACACACAAGAGAAGCAAUCUUAGUAGUAAUCUGUCCAGGCCUUUUCCUGAUUGGCCUCUGUUAACCUCAGUGCGCGUAGAAGGCUUGCUAACCAGCAGACAUCAGUGGACACUUCAGAGUCAGACCCAUAAGCCUGCUUGUCAGAAAAGAAAGGAGGGAGACUGAUGCUGCUCUCAAGAUCUUCCAGAAGUGAACCACCCCAGACUUGAUGCUCCAGCUCAGGCUGGGAUCACAUUCCUGCUCUUUCCACUAAAGCUCAACAUGCAACUGCAGCAGCGGGACUGGCUCCUGUGGAGGGGGCCUAUCUACAGUUCUGCCCCCUGAGACCUGCUGCUUCUGGGACCUGUUCUCCACAGAGGACCGUUCUUCCUUGACUUUGGGGACCUCCUAGAGCUGAUGGUUAUAAUCUCUCCCAAUCUUUCUUGAUUUGUAUCCUGCUGCAAAUGAGAGUCUUAAGGUCUCUUCCUUCUGGGUUCUAUUUAUGUAUUUCUUUGUGUGAAUUAUUGCUCCUAUGUUAGAAGUAAAACUCCCACUUUUUGUCUCCUUUCAAAAAAAAAAAAAAAAA
This 1208-nucleotide long non-coding RNA is filed under the name Mus musculus (house mouse). Its description in RNAcentral is "predicted gene, 32926 (Gm32926)". The record is from RNAcentral. Lineage: Eukaryota; Metazoa; Chordata; Mammalia; Rodentia; Muridae.